GCCGCUAUCGUCUAGUGGACUAGGAUAUCUGGUUCUCAUCCAGAAGAUCGCGGGUUCGAAUCCCGCUAGCGGUACAA
RNAcentral lists this transfer RNA (77 nucleotides) under Candidatus Levybacteria bacterium RIFCSPHIGHO2_01_FULL_38_96. Its description in RNAcentral is "tRNA-Glu". It matches the Rfam family "tRNA". Rfam says of the family: Transfer RNA (tRNA) molecules are approximately 80 nucleotides in length. Their secondary structure includes four short double-helical elements and three loops (D, anti-codon, and T loops). Lineage: Bacteria; Candidatus Levyibacteriota. The record is from RNAcentral. RNAcentral also lists the same sequence under 5 other names.